GAUCAGCAAAUUUGCUGGAAUAACAUGCAAAACCCUGCAGAAAACCCACUAGCAGACUUUAUGCUGUCACCUAGUCACAUGAACACUGCAUAUGUUAAUUCUGUUGAACAAGAACGACAAAAUUUGGGUGGAUGGAGUUUGGGUGAACCCAGUUCUAGUGGUGCACAAAAUGAUGCAAGUCACGAAGAGCAGAAAUCAGAACGGGGAUGUUCAUCUUCGGCAGGUAGUUGUGCUGCUGGAGCUGGUCGAAGGUUAGGAGAAAGGCAAUAUGAACCAGGCAAUAUUCUUCCACUGGACACUGUUAAUGUGAACCCUCAAUUUGUGCAGAGUUCCAAUUCCAAUACAAUUCCACAGAAUCUCAACCUGAAUGCCGGUUUUGUGGGUCAUGGUGGUGAUAAUGGUCAAAUCAUGGAAAGCUCUAAUACGUACAAGUCUGGUGGGGCAGACAAUGAGCGGGUUCUUCCAUCUAGUGGUUCUCACACAUUUCUGCAUCCUUCUGGAAAUAGUGAAUACAUGUUGGAAGAGGGUGAUGGUAGACCCGUUUGUUCAUUGGAUGGUCACCGUCAUUCAUGCAAAAGAAAGGCAAUCGAGGGACAUAUCGGACAGUCCUCUAUGAGUGGAAGUUCUAGUUUCUUUCAGUGCUCAGAG
RNAcentral lists this unclassified non-coding RNA (648 nucleotides) under Hevea brasiliensis (rubber tree). Lineage: Eukaryota; Viridiplantae; Streptophyta; Magnoliopsida; Malpighiales; Euphorbiaceae. The record is from RNAcentral.